CAGUUUUUACUGACAGUAGACAUCCUGCUUAUGGUGCCAUAAUCUGCAUAAAAAUUCAAACCCCCAUUCUUCGUAAAAUAUGGCAAUUAUGGUGAGCAAUGAUUACAUUAACCUCAAUUUUGCUCAUUUCCCGCGAAGUUCCAUCGCAUGUUUCAUGUAAUAUUUCAAAAGUUCAUUUUCCAUUAGACUCCACUGUCCUUCAUAACCGGUGCAGGGCGGUCUAUGGAGCUGAGUCGGUUUUCACCAGUUGUGCGCUGUGUCACGUAGAAAUUUUCCGCGAUCGACCGAGGUCUAUUAAAAUGUGAGGCAAGAGAUGAUGCAGGGCAUUUGCUUCGAGAUUCGCAGGCAGAGCCAGUCGCCAGAGAACGCCUUAGGGGUAAACCGCCAGCCGUGACCGACCAUUGGGAAGGACGCUGCUGUUGUCACAAUGAACCACCAUCGCUGUCUCCUCUUUGCUUCCGUUGUUUUUUCGAUAGCGAUGGUUGGCCUCAACUCCGAUUCAAUCAGGGAGGUAGCAAGCGAUAAGCAAGCAGAAGACGGGGAUAUGGGUGACGUCAUCGGGGAACCUAACGCCAUCGGGACCACGACGUUUGACCAAAAGAACAGGAGCAGCGCAGAUCUGACAGACUCCCUCCAGUUUUUAUUUGAUUCUGACGUCAGCGCGGAUCGUGACGCCAUUGAGCCACCAGUCGUAGACAGCCGAAGGAGAGAAGAAAAGAACGCGAAGGAUCCUCCACCAGGUCGAAUCAGACGUUUACGUCAUCACGGGACAUGACGUCGAUUUUACACAAAACGGCAAUGCGGCUUUUGACAUCCCUAAGGUACAUAAUGUAACCACUGAACGUGAUGUCAUUCAGGUACCCAUCACCAACGGCGAUAGAAGAAAAGAAAGAGACGCAUGGCACUCUCUCUGGAAUUCAUCAGGCGUUGGUGUCACCGAGGAUUAUGAAGGAACUAAGGUACAUAACUUUACCAAGGUACGUGACAUUACCGAAGUGCAUGACGUGGGCACGGAACGUGACCUCAUCCCGACACCAUCUACCGAAGACGGAAAAAGAGAAGAGAAGGACCCGGGGCAUCCUCUCCGAGCCUCAUUCCACGAUGACGUCA
This 1110-nucleotide long non-coding RNA is filed under the name Bemisia tabaci. RNAcentral describes it as "lncRNA ENSSSA2NGG005737". The record is from RNAcentral. Lineage: Eukaryota; Metazoa; Arthropoda; Insecta; Hemiptera; Aleyrodidae.